AACCUUAUGGACCUGCGGGCGUAUACCUGCGGAAGGAUCAUUACAGAGUUGCAAAACUCCCCAAACCAUUGUGAACCUUACCUUCAAACGUUGCUUCGGCGGGCGGGCCACAGCGCCCCCCGGGCCCCCCCAGCGGGGGCGCCCGCCGGAGGAUACCCAAACUCUUGAUACUUUAUGGCCUCUCUGAGUCUUCUGUACUGAAUAAGUCAAAACUUUCAACAAUGGAUCUCAGAUCGGAAG
RNAcentral lists this unclassified non-coding RNA (240 nucleotides) under soil metagenome. Its description in RNAcentral is "partial contains 5.8S ribosomal RNA, internal transcribed spacer 2, and large subunit ribosomal RNA". The record is from RNAcentral.